GACGAACGCUGGCGGCGUGCUUAACACAUGCAAGUCGAGCGGUAAGGCCCUUUCGGGGGUACACGAGCGGCGAACGGGUGAGUAACACGUGGGUGACCUGCCCUCAGCUCUGGGAUAAGCCUGGGAAACCGGGUCUAAUACUGGAUAUGACUCCAUGACGCAUGUUGUGGGGUGGAAAGCCUUGUGCGGCUGAGGAUGGGCCCGCGGCCUAUCAGCUUGUUGGUGGGGUGANGGCCUACCAAGGCGACGACGGGUAGCCGGUCUGAGAGGGCGACCGGCCACACUGGGACUGAGACACGGCCCAGACUCCUACGGGAGGCAGCAGUGGGGAAUCUUGCGCAAUGGGCGAAAGCCUGACGCAGCGACGCCGCGUGAGGGAUGACGGCCUCGGUGUAACGU
This 399-nucleotide ribosomal RNA is filed under the name uncultured bacterium. RNAcentral's name for it is "bacterial SSU rRNA". It matches the Rfam family "Bacterial small subunit ribosomal RNA", at positions 28 to 429 of the family's 1533-position model. The record is from RNAcentral.